CAAGUCGAACGCGAAAGUCCCGCAAGGGAUGAGUAGAGUGGCAAACGGGUGAGUAACACGUGGGUGACCUGCCUUCGAGCGGGGAUAACGUCCCGAAAGGGACGCUAAUACCGCAUGACAUCCUGCCUUUGAAGAGGUGGAGAUCAAAGCUGGGGAUCGCAAGACCUAGCACUCGAAGAGGGGCCCGCGCCUGAUUAGCUAGUUGGUGGGGUAACGGCUCACCAAGGCGACGAUCAGUAGCCGGCCUGAGAGGGCGGACGGCCACACUGGGACUGAGACACGGCCCAGACUCCUACGGGAGGCAGCAGUGGGGAAUUGUUCGCAAUGGGCGCAAGCCUGACGACGCAACGCCGCGUGGAGGACGAAGACCUUCGGGUCGUAAACUCCUUUCGAUCGAGACGAAUGGCCUCCGGGUAAACAAUCCGGAGGAAUGACGGUACCGAGAGAAGAAGCCCCGGCUAACUCCGUGCCAGCAGCCGCGGUAAUACGGGGGGGGCAAGCGUUGUUCGGAAUUACUGGGCGUAAAGGGCUCGUAGGUGGCCAACUAAGUCAGACGUGAAAUCCCUCAGCUUAACUGGGGAACUGCGUCUGAUACUGGAUGGCUUGAGAUUGGGAGAGGGAUGCGGAAUUCCAGGUGUAGCGGUGAAAUGCGUAGAUAUCUGGAGGAACACCGGUGGCGAAGGCGGCAUCCUGGACCAACACUGACACUGAGGAGCGAAAGCCAGGGGAGCAAACGGGAUUAGAUACCCCGGUAGUCCUGGACCUAAACGAUGAAUGCUUGGUGUGGAGGGUAUCGAUCCCUGCCGUGCC
This 810-nucleotide ribosomal RNA is filed under the name uncultured Bacillota bacterium. Its description in RNAcentral is "bacterial SSU rRNA". It matches the Rfam family "Bacterial small subunit ribosomal RNA", at positions 58 to 847 of the family's 1533-position model. Lineage: Bacteria; Bacillati; Bacillota. The record is from RNAcentral.